AACUGAAAAAGGCAAACUUGUCGAAAGGCAAGGACGCAAAGCUAUGGGCCUACCCAAUGUCAUCAUUGUAUGGUCGCCAAGCUGCCAGG
This 89-nucleotide non-coding RNA is filed under the name Metabacillus harenarius. RNAcentral's name for it is "Bacillus weihaiensis c-di-GMP sequence". It matches the Rfam family "c-di-GMP-I riboswitch aptamer". Rfam says of the family: GEMM was predicted in a large-scale screen for bacterial structured RNA regulatory elements. Lineage: Bacteria; Bacillati; Bacillota; Bacilli; Caryophanales; Bacillaceae. The record is from RNAcentral.